GCUACUACCGAUUGAGUGAUCCGGUGAAUAAUUCGGACUGACGCAGUGCUCAGCUUCUGGACGUUGUGUUGGAAAGUUUCAUGAACCUUAUCACUUAGAGGAAGGAGAAGUCGUAACAAGGUUUCCGUAGGUGAACCUGCAGAAGGAUCAGAGCUCCUACCGAUUUCGAAUUAUCCGGUGAACCUUCUGGACUGAAGUGGCAACACAUCGGGAAGUUAGGUAAACCUUAUAAUUUAGAGGAAGGAGAAGUCGUAACAAGGUUUCCGUAGGUGAACCUGCAGAAGGAUCA
This 289-nucleotide unclassified non-coding RNA is filed under the name sea anemone metagenome. RNAcentral's name for it is "partial contains small subunit ribosomal RNA and internal transcribed spacer 1". The stretch from base 1 to 153 matches the Rfam family "Eukaryotic small subunit ribosomal RNA", at positions 1678 to 1831 of the family's 1831-position model. The record is from RNAcentral.